GAGUAAACAAACAGCCUCUCGAUUGGAAGAGGGUCGAUUGGAAGCAGCCUCUCUGCCCUUUCGGGCAGGGGUAAGGCUCGUCUACAUAUUAAUAGUAGAAAAGAAAUUUCAGCUAUAUGUACUAAAGCUAUAGUACCUCUCUGCCCCUUCAGGCAGGGGGAAGGCUCGUCUACAUAUUACCCUCCCCAGACCCCACCUGGUGGGAGUAUACUGGGUAGUUGUUGUUGUUGUUGUUGUUGUACUAAAGAGUAAACAAACACAAAUCAUUUGCCUAAUGCUCAACCACAUUGGCAAUAAGACUGUCAAAAAGCUACUUGAGGUCCUGAUUUACCUGAUGCCACAUGAAUAAACAAAAAUGAAGAUAACGUGAACUAUGAAUGACCUAAAGGUAUACAUCACAAAUAAGAUCCCCAUAACUGAAACCACAAGCACCUGACAGCCGCAGGAACAUAUGCUUGCUAUCAUCCAACCCAAUAAUACGAAAUCAUUCAAUCCAGUAAAUCUUGAUAUG
RNAcentral lists this long non-coding RNA (511 nucleotides) under Nicotiana benthamiana. Its description in RNAcentral is "long non-coding RNA (NBEN_LNC029603)". Lineage: Eukaryota; Viridiplantae; Streptophyta; Magnoliopsida; Solanales; Solanaceae. The record is from RNAcentral.